AGGUCUAACCUGCCCAAUGANGAAUUAAAUGGCCGCAGUAUUUUGACUGUGCAAAGGUAGCAUAAUUAUUAGUUUUUUAAUUGAAAGCUUGUAUGAAGGGUUGGACGAGAUAAAAUCUGUCUUUAUUUAAAUUACAAUAGAAUUUAACUUUUAAGUCAAAAGGCUUAAAUGUAUAUAAAAGACGAGAAGACCCUAUAGAUCUUUAUUUAAUUAAUAUUUUGAUAAUUUAAGAUUAUUUUAGUUUAAAGUUUUAAUUAAAUUUUAUUGGGGUAAUAUAGAGAUUAAAUAAAUUCUUUUUAUUUAUUACAUUGAUUUAUGAAUAUAUGAUCCAAUAUUAUUGAUUAUAAGAUUAAGUUACCUUAGGGAUAACAGCGUAAUUUUUUUGGAGAGCUCAUAUCGAUAAAAAAGUUUGCGACCUCGAUGUUGGAUUAAAAAUUAGCUUGGGUGCAGAAGCUCAAGAUUUUGGUCUGUUCGACCAUUAAAUUUUUACAUGAUCUGAGUUCAGACCGGCGUAAGCCAGGUCGGUUUCUAUCUUUAUUUAUCUAAAAUAUUUUAGUACGAAAGGACCAAAUAUUNAAUAUAAUUAUAUUUCUUUUUUGAAUAAUAUN
Molecule: ribosomal RNA, 608 nt
Filed under: Cicindela hybrida
Lineage: Eukaryota; Metazoa; Arthropoda; Insecta; Coleoptera; Carabidae
Description: partial 16S ribosomal RNA
Rfam family: Bacterial large subunit ribosomal RNA
Source: RNAcentral